CUAAGGAAAUUACGGAGACUACACAUUCGUCACUUUGUUCAGUUUUGAGAGGUUUACUCUCAAUCUUUGUUCAUUGAAAACUGGAUAUUGAAGUAAUCAACACAAAACCGAGAACACCGCGUUGAAUUGAGUUUUUUAAUAGUUCAAUUGCUUACUCGAUGACGCCUCUAUCGCUAGAGAAACGCAUCGAAACCCAACCGUAAGGUUGAUAA
RNAcentral lists this unclassified non-coding RNA (212 nucleotides) under Enterococcus canis. RNAcentral's name for it is "partial 16S-23S ribosomal RNA intergenic spacer". Lineage: Bacteria; Bacillati; Bacillota; Bacilli; Lactobacillales; Enterococcaceae. The record is from RNAcentral.